UUUGAAAUCUGGCGUCUUUGGCGUCCGAGUUGUAAUUUGAAGAAGGUAUCUUUGGGCCCGGCUCUUGUCUAUGUUCCUUGGAACAGGACGUCACAGAGGGUGAGAAUCCCGUGCGAUGAGAUGACCCGGGUCUGUGUAAAGUUCCUUCGACGAGUCGAGUUGUUUGGGAAUGCAGCUCUAAGUGGGUGGUAAAUUCCAUCUAAAGCUAAAUAUUGGCGAGAGACCGAUAGCGAACAAGUACAGUGAUGGAAAGAUGAAAAGAACUUUGAAAAGAGAGUGAAAAAGUACGUGAAAUUGUUGAAAGGGAAGGGCUUGAGAUCAAACUUGGUAUUUUGCAUGCUGCUCUCUCGGGGGCGGCCGCUGCGGUUUACCGGGCCAGCAUCGGUUUGGAGCGGCAGGAUAAUGGCGGAGGAAUGUGGCACGGCUUCUGCUGUGUGUUAUAGCCUCUGACGAUACUGCCAGCCUAGACCGAGGACUGCGGUUUUUACCUAGGAUGUUGGCAUAAUGAUCUUAAGUCGCCCGUCUUGAAACACGGACCAAGGAGUCUAACGUCUAUGCGAGUGUUUGGGUGUAAAACCCGUACGCGUAAUGAAAGUGAACGAAGGUGGGGGCCCAUUAGGGUGCACCAUCGACCGAUCCUGAUGUGUUCGGAUGGAUUUGAGUAAGAGCAUAGCUGUUGGGACCCGAAAGAUGGUGAACUAUGCCUGAAUAGGGUGAAGCCAGAGGAAACUCUGGUGGAGGCUCGUAGCGGUUCUGACGU
RNAcentral lists this ribosomal RNA (760 nucleotides) under Candida albicans. RNAcentral's name for it is "eukaryotic LSU rRNA". It matches the Rfam family "Eukaryotic large subunit ribosomal RNA", at positions 114 to 892 of the family's 3401-position model. The record is from RNAcentral. Lineage: Eukaryota; Fungi; Ascomycota; Pichiomycetes; Serinales; Debaryomycetaceae.